AGUUCGGAUUGUAGUCUGCAACUCGACUACAUGAAGCCGGAAUCGCUAGUAAUCGCGGAUCAGAAUGCCGCGGUAAAUACGUUCCCGGGUCUUGUACACACCGCCCGUCACACCAUGGGAGCCGGAAAUGCCCGAAGUCAGUGACCCAACCGCGAGGAGGGAGCUGCCGAAGGCAGGUCUGGUAACUGGGGUGAAGUCGUAACAAGGUAGC
This 211-nucleotide ribosomal RNA is filed under the name uncultured bacterium. RNAcentral's name for it is "partial 16S ribosomal RNA". It matches the Rfam family "Bacterial small subunit ribosomal RNA", at positions 1290 to 1500 of the family's 1533-position model. The record is from RNAcentral.